This 305-nucleotide ribosomal RNA is filed under the name uncultured bacterium. RNAcentral describes it as "bacterial SSU rRNA". It matches the Rfam family "Bacterial small subunit ribosomal RNA", at positions 337 to 640 of the family's 1533-position model. The record is from RNAcentral.
UCCUACGGGGGGCAGCAGUGAGGAAUAUUGGUCAAUGGGCUUACGCCUGAACCAGCCAAGUCGCGUGAGGGAAGACUGCCCUAUGGGUUGUAAACCUCUUUUGUCAAGGGACAAAAUCAGGCUCGAGAGCCUGACCGAGGGUACUUGAAGAAAAAGCAUCGGCUAACUCCGUGCCAGCAGCCGCGGUAAUACGGAGGAUGCGAGCGUUAUCCGGAUUUAUUGGGUUUAAAGGGUGCGUAGGCGGACUGUUAAGUCAGCGGUAAAAGCACGGGGCUCAACCCCGGCGAGCCGUUGAAACUGGCUGU